Molecule: ribosomal RNA, 424 nt
Filed under: uncultured bacterium
Lineage: Bacteria
Description: bacterial SSU rRNA
Rfam family: Bacterial small subunit ribosomal RNA
Source: RNAcentral
UGGGGAAUUUUGGACAAUGGGGGCAACCCUGAUCCAGCGACGCCGCGUGAAGGAUGAAGGCCUUCGGGUUGUAAACUUCUUUUGGAGGGGAUGAACAUGCCGGCGAAUAGCCGGCAUUGACAGUACUCUCGGAAUAAGCCACGGCUAACUACGUGCCAGCAGCCGCGGUAAUACGUAGGUGGCAAGCGAUACUCGGAAUCACUAGGCGUAAAGCGCAGGUAGGCGGUUUGGUAAGUCUUUUGUGAAAGCUCCCGGCUUAACUGGGAGAGGUCAAAGGAAACUACCGGACUAGAGUGUGGUAGGGGAUACUGGAAUUCCCGGUGUAGCGGUGAAAUGCGUAGAUAUCGGGAGGAAUACCUAUGGCGAAAGCAGGUAUCUGGGCCAUCACUGACGCUGAGCUGCGAAAGCUAGGGGAGCAAACAGG